UACGUAGGGGCCGAGCGUUGUCCGGAGUUAUUGGGCGUAAAGCGCGCGCAGGCGGCCUCGCGCGCCCGACGUGAAAGCCCCCGGCUUAACCGGGGAGGGUCGUUGGGGACGGCGGGGCUUGAGGGCGGGAGAGGGCGGUGGAAUUCCCGGUGUAGUGGUGAAAUGCGUAGAGAUCGGGAGGAACACCUGUGGCGAAGGCGGCCGUCUGGGCCGACCCUGACGCUGAGGCGCGAAGGCGUGGGGAGCGAACAGG
This 253-nucleotide ribosomal RNA is filed under the name uncultured bacterium. RNAcentral describes it as "partial 16S ribosomal RNA". It matches the Rfam family "Bacterial small subunit ribosomal RNA", at positions 524 to 776 of the family's 1533-position model. The record is from RNAcentral.